UGGGUUGCAAUGAUAAUAAGAUCAAUUCCUCGUACUGAAUAAUGCUCAAUUGGGCAUGACAGACUCCUUGCACCCAUAGAAUCUGAGCUCC
Molecule: non-coding RNA, 91 nt
Organism: Populus trichocarpa (black cottonwood)
Lineage: Eukaryota; Viridiplantae; Streptophyta; Magnoliopsida; Malpighiales; Salicaceae
Source: Rfam